Vigna unguiculata (cowpea) is the source of this 321-nucleotide long non-coding RNA. RefSeq lists it as uncharacterized. NCBI's taxonomy places the organism in Eukaryota, Viridiplantae, Streptophyta, Magnoliopsida, Fabales, Fabaceae. The record is from RefSeq and is a predicted model, not a curated record.
CAACAUGAUGAAAGAUAUGUCAAAACAUUCGUUCAUAUUAGCAUUUUUAUUUGUAAUUCUUGCCACAGAAGUUUAUUAUGGUCAUUCAUUUUCGAAGGAAACAAACACAGAAGAUGUUGUUAUAACUAUAACUCCAUGUCAAACAAAGCAGGAUUGUAUUCGCAAUAUUCGUUCGGUAGGAUGCGGUGCUUCAGUAGUUCAUUGUUUCGACGGAUAUUGCCGUUGUAAUCAUAUAUCAGGUAAUUUGUUUCCGAGAGGACCACUAGGAGAGAACCACUAGAAGAGGCAGGAGUGAGUGAUUCUACACAUGAAACAUUUUAA